CGCCGCCCGCCGGCGUCGACGUGGACAACUCCAGCGACACCGCCGCGCCGCCCCCGCCUGCGCCCGCCUCCACUGCCCCCACGGCCUGCCACGUCAUGGGAACUGAAUACAAGAUAGGUGAAGUUCUGCCACGAGAUACAGGAACAUGUCUGGAAUGUGUGUGUGAUUCUGAAGCAAGGGUUACCUGUUCACCUAAAAACUGUGCAAGCCAUGACGAUUUCCAUGCCGCCAACAGCCUUGACAUGUUUGAUGUUGAUACAUUCUAGGACUACUAUUUGCCUAAUAUUCUUUCAGAUAGCCCACAUAUGUAGUGCUAUAAAGUGUGUAUGUUGUAUCUGAACUGCCUUUCUGUAAAUCUUUCAACAGAGUUAAUAAGUGUGUAUGUGGUACAAUAUUGUUCCAGUCACAUUAUGUGAGUUUAAAAUGGCACUAAUUUUCAAUCUGUACUCCUAGAACAUCACUCAGUGUACAAUGGAUAUAGCACUGAGACAUGUUCAACUGCCUUAUGACAUCAUUGUAUGUAAUAUAUAUAAUUAAUGAAUGGUACAUACAAAUCAGGCACAAUUAUUCAUUCUUUAGCUACUUCUCGAAAAUCAGAAUGAUUAGAAGUAUAAUUUUCUUCAGAACAAAGGUCUCAUCAUUAACCAGAAAAGUCAUUUACGGCUCAUUCCAUCAACCAACCAUUCACAACAGUAAGGACUCAGACAAUGUACACAUAAUGCGAAAAUUCUUCAAAAUGUGGUAUUAUAACAAUGGCACAUUUAAGUUGCUUUCAGUAAAUGGAUUGUGAAUAAAAUCUCUUAAAGCAUCAGUUUUGACAAUGUAUUUUAUGUGUACAGACUCUCAGUAACUUUAAGGGGACAGGUAGAGUCAGUCAGUGGUGAAACUAUUGUGCUACUGCAUAACCUGCAAUCUGUUAACUGACCAACAUCAGACAGUCUCUACUUCUUAUUUUGAUAGUGUUCUUUCUAUGUUGUCAAAUCUCUGAAAUGUCUGACAAUACAAUGCUAUAGACAAUCUGACGUUUGGCAUUUAGCAAUGGUGACAGAAAAGACUUAUUUCAACAUCAUAAAUGAUCAUUACAAUUUUAAUUAAUUUCUCAAGUAUGUACACAUUCUGUAAAGCAACAUUUCUUACAAUUAAAUAAAAUUCCCAUUUUUAAGAACUUUUUAUUGGAUAACACCAACAUGAAACUAAACACAGGCGAUGCAGAAAAAGUGGAAAUGUAGCAUAUGACCUGUUACAACAAAAAGUCUAAUAUUUACAACUAUUAUUGGCAGAACUGCUGGUUAUGUUUGGAUUUCAAAGUUUUCGUUGAAAAUGCUUAUUCAUAAUCAGUCAUACAACUAUGGACUUAAUUUUGUCACUGUCACUUGAUAAUUAAACUUUUGAAAGCAACUGUAUCAUUUGUCUAUGACAUUAAAACCAACUGAUAGGUACAUCAUUUUCAUGUGUAUUCCAAAAAAAAUGUAUUUUAUACAGUGUUACAAAGUGUUUUGACAUUCACAGUAUGUUUUCGUUUGCAAGCAUCGUUACUCUGAAUUUUUUAAUGAUAAAUCAUCACAUAAACAUGAAAAUAUAGAAAAUAAAGUUUUAAUUAGCUUUACACUUAUAGCAGUCAUGUUCACUACUCUGGAACUGUUUCUUCGUCAGGAAUGGUACUAAAACCAAAUACAUCUAAUUUUCAAAAAUACUGUGCUGUUAGUUCACAAAGAUUUAUUACCAAGUUAACAAACACAGUUACAGUUUCUUCAUGAUUUUCCAGAGUUCAUCAUUUCUAUUACUUGUUCCACACACCAGUAUGCAAAAGUGCGACAUGGAAAUAGAGUAAUACUAUUUUACAUUUGUCAGUAUAAAAUAAAAAACUAUUACUAUUAGACCUAUUUUACCAAGUAGAGAAAGGAAAGACAAAAGGACCAAAUAGACUUCAGAAUUAUUUUGUUAUAUGGAAAGUGAGGUACAUUUGAAAAUAGGACGUUUAUACCAUACCAUAACAAACUUAAAUUAGAUCUUUUCCAUAUACUUCUUUUGUAGAAUAUUAACAGUACUAGAAAUAAGAUCCAAAUUCUGUUUUAAAGUGCAAUCUGAGAAGAAAAGUUGUUGAAGAUACUGAAAACCCAGAAAUAUUUAUCGUGAAAUCUUUACAGUGUCUGACUUUUGUGCCAAAUGUUUACCAGUAGUAUAAAAGUAUAAGGUAGUGUUUUCUCAAAAUGAAUGUUCACUGCAUGAUGAAACUGGACACACUCACUGAAGCAUAUGUCAUCUUUAAAAAAUAGACUUUUAUCAAUAUCAUAUUUGAACAGAAUUACUACAUUUAGUUCUCCGAUCACAUGAUGAUAUGCUUUUAAUGAAACACUUUUAUUAAAAUCCAAGAUUUUCGCUGUAUUGGUGACUUCACAACGUCACAAUUCUUCAAACAGCAAAUACGCUUCAAAAAUACAAUUUAAACAAAAAAUGUUAGCAUUUCAGAGAUCUUGACUUUGUUGCAGUUCCUGAAGAAACAAUAAUACACAUCAUCAGCAGUUCAUAUUUUCAGUGAGAGCAACAAUGUAGCGCACAUGCUUGAGGACAAUAUCAGUGAGGUAGUACUUCAUUGAUUCACUGGACUAAUUUGCAGUUUAUCUUCAAGUACUACAAGCAUUUAUACACAUUUUAUUUUGUGUAAAUAGAAAAUAUUUACAAACUUGUAUAAUACCUUAAUCAAAAAAAUGCAUUUAGAAUAUAUAACCUCUGAAAGCUACAUUUGACUUAGCUGAAUGCACAGAUUUUACUUAUAAUGCUGUAAAUAUGUCUCCUACAGAACUUUUCCAGCAUAAAAAUAGGCGUUUCGCAGCUUUAAGGAAGAUUUUAAUUAUGAUAAAAUACAACAAUGUAAAAUACAUGUAGACACAUGAAAAAUGCAGAUACCAUUGGUGACAAUUAUUUUUUAGAACUUUAAUGUAGACAUCAGUAGCAAAAAGCUGCUAACAAUCAUAAAUGCAAUUUACAGAUAACUUAUCAAAGAUUCUGGUUUAAAUUUCAGUUUUAGAAAAAAUACCAGAAAUAUUGAAGAAGGUAAAUUUUUUGCUAUAAACAUCACAUGGACUUCUCAGAUUAUGAAGUGAUAUAUGUACAAGUUGGGAAAACUGAUUUUCAAGAAAGUAAAGGACUUUUAAAGUAUUACACUUCAUUGUUUUAGAUACUUUGUGAUAUGCGUACUAACAUAUAUACACUAUAUGAACCAAUCAUACAUAGUUCAGUAUGACAACAAUAUGUUUCAUUUCAGGAGAUAUAGCUUAACAAACAUCAUUAAUAGCAAAAUGACUAAGAGUCAACCUAAUCAUUAGCUGUAGCAUGAAAUACUUAACAUAACAUUAAGUUAUUUAUGUACAGCCAGAUACUCAAGAACUAAUCCCCAAAUAUUUCACAUUCUCUUAAGAGUUGAUAGAUGAGUUUGUGAAUUCUUGUGUAUAUGAUAUCAUUAAUUCAAUUGGAGAGUUUUUAUCCAAGGCUAUACCAGUGUGCUACAUACUUAUUAAUGGUUGUUAAUUGUUUACUGGAAGAGAUUUAUAAAUACUAAAUGAUGGAGUUAACAUUUCUUAGGACAGAUUUCCUGCAUUUCAUUCAAUGUGAGAUAUGUGAAGAAAUGAUUAAUGUGAUGAUAUUUAUAUGACAUAGAGCAGUGAUAAGAAGUCAUUUAUUUUGUUGAUGCCUAGUAAUUUAGAGCUGUCUCUUUUGAUAUUGAAUAAAAACAAUAAACUCUCAUUGGUGCAGAUUAUUUUAAAAUAAAAGGUAGAGACAUCAGUGAAUCAUUCUUUAGCAACAGUAUUGAUGCAACAUUAUGAUCACUCAUAUCAUUCAUGUGAAGGUAGAUUUAGGAAUAAUUCGAAAAGAAAACAAUAUUAUAUUUGAAGUUGGUGUUACUGGUGUAUCUACUGCUCUUCGUGAGCUAGCCACUUGUCAUAUAAGACAUAUAAUUUGUAUAUAAAAUGUACAAGUUAUUAGCAUGCAGUCCUUGAUUUUUAUAAAGAUAUAUAAAAUGAUUGAAGAUAACUACAGAAAAUUAUUAUAUAUUUUCAAAUAUUUUAUUAUCCUGUGGUAGUAUGUCAGUUUACUGUAACCUAGAAGACAGAAUUUUUUUCUUUUGUAGAAAAAAAAAUUUCAGAAUCAGUGCAUAAUUUCGUUUAUAUACCAAUAGUUAAUGUAAAAGAUUAAUUUAAUAAAAAGUAAGAGUGAGUGAUACUUUUUCAUUUAAAGGGAGUGUACUGAAAAAUAUAAGUAACUUAAUAAGUAAAAUAUGUAGCUGUAGAAAUUAUUUCAUGUAGUUAUGAUGCAUAUAUAACAUGCAAAUAUAACAACAGUCUAUGUACUCUCAAAGUAUGGAAUCAAAAAACCACUUUGUAAUGCUAAAAUUGCUUGACAUUCUGUCUUUCAUACAAUAAGCAGCACCAUGUUAAAACUUCUUCAAUUGUACAUUAUAGUAUUAUGUCCAUUGCUAUAUUAUGUUCCUGCAAAUAGUGUUGGUAAUGUUAUGAGAGGCACUAAGUAACUGUGAAGGAAUUGUGACAUUAUAAUGUAAUCCAGAUGUCUUCCAUAAUUCAUAAGUUGCUGCUAUUGUAUUAUCUUUCAUUAAUAUGUAUAUUACGUUUUACACAAUGUUUCCAGACUUUCGAUAUUGUAACACUACUGAAUAAACAAGUUUUAAAGCUGA
Molecule: long non-coding RNA, 4690 nt
Organism: Schistocerca cancellata (South American locust)
Lineage: Eukaryota; Metazoa; Arthropoda; Insecta; Orthoptera; Acrididae
Exons: 2
Source: RefSeq, a predicted model, not a curated record